This 1372-nucleotide ribosomal RNA is filed under the name uncultured bacterium. RNAcentral's name for it is "bacterial SSU rRNA". It matches the Rfam family "Bacterial small subunit ribosomal RNA", at positions 28 to 1381 of the family's 1533-position model. The record is from RNAcentral.
GAUGAACGCUGGCGGCGUGCCUAAUACAUGCAAGUCGAGCGAACGGACGAGAAGCUUGCUUCUCUGAUGUUAGCGGCGGACGGGUGAGUAACACGUGGAUAACCUACCUAUAAGACUGGGAUAACUUCGGGAAACCGGAGCUAAUACCGGAUAAUAUUUUGAACCGCAUGGUUCAAAAGUGAAAGACGGUCUUGCUGUCACUUAUAGAUGGAUCCGCGCUGCAUUAGCUAGUUGGUAAGGUAACGGCUUACCAAGGCAACGAUGCAUAGCCGACCUGAGAGGGUGAUCGGCCACACUGGAACUGAGACACGGUCCAGACUCCUACGGGAGGCAGCAGUAGGGAAUCUUCCGCAAUGGGCGAAAGCCUGACGGAGCAACGCCGCGUGAGUGAUGAAGGUCUUCGGAUCGUAAAACUCUGUUAUUAGGGAAGAACAUAUGUGUAAGUAACUGUGCACAUCUUGACGGUACCUAAUCAGAAAGCCACGGCUAACUACGUGCCAGCAGCCGCGGUAAUACGUAGGUGGCAAGCGUUAUCCGGAAUUAUUGGGCGUAAAGCGCGCGUAGGCGGUUUUUUAAGUCUGAUGUGAAAGCCCACGGCUCAACCGUGGAGGGUCAUUGGAAACUGGAAAACUUGAGUGCAGAAGAGGAAAGUGGAAUUCCAUGUGUAGCGGUGAAAUGCGCAGAGAUAUGGAGGAACACCAGUGGCGAAGGCGACUUUCUGGUCUGUAACUGACGCUGAUGUGCGAAAGCGUGGGGAUCAAACAGGAUUAGAUACCCUGGUAGUCCACGCCGUAAACGAUGAGUGCUAAGUGUUAGGGGGUUUCCGCCCCUUAGUGCUGCAGCUAACGCAUUAAGCACUCCGCCUGGGGAGUACGACCGCAAGGUUGAAACUCAAAGGAAUUGACGGGGACCCGCACAAGCGGUGGAGCAUGUGGUUUAAUUCGAAGCAACGCGAAGAACCUUACCAAAUCUUGACAUCCUUUGACAACUCUAGAGAUAGAGCCUUCCCCUUCGGGGGACAAAGUGACAGGUGGUGCAUGGUUGUCGUCAGCUCGUGUCGUGAGAUGUUGGGUUAAGUCCCGCAACGAGCGCAACCCUUAAGCUUAGUUGCCAUCAUUAAGUUGGGCACUCUAAGUUGACUGCCGGUGACAAACCGGGGGAAGGUGGGGAUGACGUCAAAUCAUCAUGCCCCUUAUGAUUUGGGCUACACACGUGCUACAAUGGACAAUACAAAGGGCAGCGAAACCGCGAGGUCAAGCAAAUCCCAUAAAGUUGUUCUCAGUUCGGAUUGUAGUCUGCAACUCGACUACAUGAAGCUGGAAUCGCUAGUAAUCGUAGAUCAGCAUGCUACGGUGAAUACGUUCCCGGGUCU